Molecule: small nucleolar RNA, 132 nt
Organism: Dipodomys spectabilis (banner-tailed kangaroo rat)
Lineage: Eukaryota; Metazoa; Chordata; Mammalia; Rodentia; Heteromyidae
Source: RefSeq, a predicted model, not a curated record
UAGGCCCUGAAUCAAGACCAGUGCUUGAUGUAGCUACUGGUUUCAAACAGGAGCCUAGAGUAAUAUCUUUCUUUGGUCUGUGGGUUAUUCAUUGUUGCAGUGAGAAUGGCCAUUUGUUGGGAAGAAACAUAG